Labrus bergylta (ballan wrasse) is the source of this 811-nucleotide non-coding RNA. The record is from RefSeq and is a predicted model, not a curated record. NCBI's taxonomy places the organism in Eukaryota, Metazoa, Chordata, Actinopteri, Labriformes, Labridae.
AAUGAUAAUAAAGAUUCUAUCUUUCUAUCUAUGCCUUUAGAAAGGAUUAAAUAGUUUGUAUUUGAUUUCAUGUCUUUGCAAAACUUUCGACAGAUGGUGACCCUUUUUUGUUUUUGGGGCUGGAAGUCUUUGUUAAGCUCAGCAUUGUUCUAACUUUCAGAUCUGACCGGUCGUGGCCUCAGUCCGGGGUCCGAGUUGAUGGUUCAACGCUGCAGUUUCUGAGCAUCACCUCCGAGCUGAACGGCCUCUACCAGUGCGAGGCGUCGAACUCGUAUGGGAGUAAACGUGCUUACCUCCGUGUGCAUUUCACCUCAGGAUCCUGCACUGCCAGUUGGACCCUCUUUGUUCUUCUGCUCGUCCUCGUUGUUGCUGCUGUCUUGUGUUGCUUCUAUAAACGUAUGGAAAUUGCAAGAUUCAUACUACGGGAAGAAGGCGGCACACGAGGCAAGAGGCAAAAGGUUCCAACGACUUCCAGCUCACCUGAAGGCCAUGACAGAGUAGAAGAAGAUGGAGGGGAAACAGAGGGAGAGCUUUGAAAUCAGUCGAAGCAACAGAAGAGGAUCACAGCUGGACUGAAGGUGAUUUGCAGACUUCCAACACUAUUCAUUCCUGACGCAGCCGUUAGUGAAAAUAGGCAGUAUUCCUGGUGCUUUACAUUUUGUUGAUGUCAUUGACAUUGGUUUUAAAAAUAGCCAAUUUCUCAAUUCAGAUAUUUAAAGUUAUUGUUUCCAAAUAUUACAACUGAACAGCUAGUAGUAUUAUCAAAAAAAGAAUGUCAAAAAUGAACCUGAAGGUUAAGAGCUUUUCUGAA